GGUUGAAAAAGGACAACAAACCCCAAUAAGAAUCCCUGGUUUUCUUCAUUGGUUUUGAGAUUCCCUUGAGUUUCCAUCUUGAGGGUGGUUUUUCCUCGCUGUUCUGGGCAGGGAAGCUCGCCUUCGGCUUCCCCUAACUGGAUGUGGUCGUCCCUCCCCACAUCUAGUAGGGUUGUAUAGUUUUUAUUCUUUUGGUGGUGCAGGAGUCUCACGAUUUGGGAGCAGCUACUUUAUCUGUGUAGGUUGUCGUCUUUUUUCGCUGAGAUAAG
This 269-nucleotide unclassified non-coding RNA is filed under the name Hevea brasiliensis (rubber tree). Lineage: Eukaryota; Viridiplantae; Streptophyta; Magnoliopsida; Malpighiales; Euphorbiaceae. The record is from RNAcentral.